Molecule: long non-coding RNA, 2465 nt
Organism: Equus caballus (horse)
Lineage: Eukaryota; Metazoa; Chordata; Mammalia; Perissodactyla; Equidae
Source: Ensembl
AUCACAAUGAUUGCUUUCCCCUUCCACCUGCAAACCUACCAGAGGCUCUUUCCAUCUCUUCAUUGUGAGAACCUGGUGGAGCUCCCGAGGGAAGACUCGGAGAGUGUGGGAACCCCCACAGCCACGUUCCCCAGCUGUUUCUCGUUCUCCUGUAGUCCAGACUCAGCCUCAGCAGCCCACGGACAUUCCCGUGAAGACUUCCUACCAGAGCACGGCUUCCCUGCCUUCUGCCCGGGGAGCAGAUCUUCACUGUGACUUUCUGGAUUUGCCUGUCUCUGCAGAUUGCAGAUGGAAAUGGUGUGUGCAUAACUACCGUUUGUGUAUAAACUCGCGCAUGAAUAUGUUGGAAGAAAUCAAAAUUCGAAGAUGAAGAGGAGAAAGUUGAAAACAUUUCCAUGAGAGACAUGAUGAGGAUCAUAUUACAGUUGCAAUAAUGGAAGUAGAGUGAACGACACAAGGCACUUCAAGUCACUCCAUGUCUGCAUCAAUCUGUCCAUAGAAGAUAGGUAAACAGAGCUGAUAAAAUGAACAAGCACAGUUUCAUGUCACCGAGCUCAUCGUGAGGUGGUUAUGCUUUGCCUACCAGGUGGCGUCAGUGAUGCCAACCGUGCACAGCCACAUGCUGAGAAAGGCUGAGAUUCCCCCGCUUCCUGAAAGCUAACAAGGGAGCCGCUCACAGUCUGAAGUAGUAGAAAUACAAGACUCACGGGUCAGAGACAAAGACUAAGCAAGAGCAGAAACAGAGUACUGGCAUUUGGACUGAUUGCUCCAGUCUCAGUUCCUACGAGGCAAUGAAAAGAGGACCAGCUGAGCUGCACGUCCACGGGAUGACAUCACAGGAGAAGAGUGAAAUGAGUUUAUCAAAAUCAAUUUUUUGAUGCCCAAAGGGAGUCACUGUCUCUGUCUUCAGAGGAUUUUCAUACUUGAAAAGAUAGUUGGGAAUAAAGGGAAACAGUUUCUCACUCAGAAAAUUUGAAGGGAAGAGACUCAUGGAGACUUGCCCCCAACUAUCGCUCCCUUGUUUCUAUCCCAACAUCGCGCCUUCUGAGGAACUUCCCUAUGAACUUACUGUCCUCGUAGACAGCGCUGUCCUCCACCUUUUCCCUCAGCGCACGCCAGUGAGCUCAACGGCCCUGGGCAUGUUGGCCACGACCUCUGAGAUAUCCGCCUCUGAGACAGACAUGCAGCUUGUGAAACACUUUCCUGCAACCACUUCCUGCAACAGAAGCAGGGGCGCAGCCCUCAGAGCAGCGUGCCAGCAGGGCCAGUGGUGGACCUGGCAUUCCUGGGGGAGGAGGCUGGGACUGGACCCCCGGAGGCCCUGCACCCCUGGAGGCCCAGCGGCCAUCUCGUUCCCUGUCCAAAUGGGACACUCAGUACCCUGUGCCUUCAGGCCAGGUGUGUCCCAGCUGGGCUACCGUCUCCCAAAAGAGUCUCAGGAACUCUCCGCAGUAGAACUCGUUUUGCUGCCUGAGCAUCCUCCGCUCUGUGAGAAAGUCCUGCUGGUUCAUCAUCAAAGGGCCACAAAUCUGACGUUUCACACCGCUGUAACCAACGUCUGCCUGCAACUGCCAUGCUCUCACCCCAGGGGCUUAGGGCAGCCACCUCCCUGCCUCUGCCUCUCCCAAAGUCUCCUCUCAGAAAGAAAAGAAUUAUUAUUUCCUAUGUUGCUCAUAAUAAUUAAUCUGAUCAACAAAGAAACUGGGACAAAAUCUGUUAAAUCUGUCUCAUGCAGCGUUAACUGCCCCUUCCACCAACGUGGCCACGGGCAGCAGGGGGAGACCCAGCUGCGCUGUUGACCUGUCAUGGCCCCAGGGUCAUGACCCAAUCACCUGAACAAAGCCUUAAACCCUCAGGGUUUCCUUAGAAAACCCAGUGUCUUCCUAUUUAAUUUCUGUCCUCAUCUUUCCACUUAGCCAGGGCCUUAAUCCAGAUACAGCAGGAUGUGUUCACGUUGGGGAAACACCACCUUGACGCACAAAGAGGUCUAGGCCAGUCCUGUCAUCAAAAACAACCCUGGGCAGAGUGUUGAGGCUGACCUGAAAGUCCUCCACAGCUGAAGUGGUGCCAUUGAUUGCAUCACCUAAAAUCAGGGAGAGUUUAUACCACACAUUCUAAUUGGGUAAUUCUCACAAUAGGGAUCACUUCCCAAAGGGCAUGUAAAUAGAACAAGUCAGCCUUUCUGGAUAGCAAGCUCCUCCUAGUAACCAAGGAUAGCUUCAGUCACCUGAGGGCCAGAGCCAGUAUUGCCUUCAAGUUAUCUGGUCUCUUAUGGUCUUGUAUGGCCAUCCCUAAGGCACCAGCCACCGUGUUCCAGGAGUGAGUCAAGUUAAUGCCUGGCUUCCACAGCCUGUCUGGUCGGUAUACUUUAGGGUUCUCAGUUCAGACCAAAUAAUUAAGUCCAGAAAAUGGAGUGGGCAGGAAAACAAAUAAAUAAAUAGAUACACAAAUCAAUUUCACUUUAG